GUGAGUCUCGUCAGAGUUCUCACCCGUGCACGUUAAUGUUAUUACAUUCUAACUGUUUGAGUGUCUUUAUUCAGCCUGAAGAAUGUCUUAUUAAAAAUAAACUCUUGACAUUUAAUUGGUCCUCCGAGCCGGAUGUAGGACAUCGAAUUAUAACUAAUUUUAUGCUCCAACGGAGUGACCUCGUCGUUUCCUGUCAUCGUGGAGAGCCCGCGCUGAAGUCUGUCGACAGCCUCUUUCCUAUGAAGGAGAAAAAGACCAACUACGUGAAUUCGGGGUUGGCCAGCGUUCUUAGUAAGAGGUCCACGAUCCUGGGGAACGAGGAGGAAUCUCUGACCGGCACUUAUAUCAUCAUAACCAGUUUGCCAUUUGGGAUUUUCCCUUAACAUUUCUUGGUCCUUCGAGCCGGAUGGGACGGGCUAUUUAAAGCAGCUCCCAUAAGAGGCACCUCACCAGGUCCCGUCGGUGCGAGAAGCCCACGUUGAAGUCUGUCGACAGCUCACGCACUAGGUGCGUGAUAAAGCCCAAGGACGUGAAUUCGGGUCUUGGCCAACGUUUUACAAGCGGUCCGCACCGUCGGGGGCUAAUUGGGUGCAUCUGAAGAAACCACCAUUAAGGCUGCUUUGCCGGUCCUGAAAGCCAAAGCUGACCUGGACUCCUGCUCUCCCCUCUACCAUCUCUGACCCUGACCAAAUGCUGCAGCAGCUGGACCCAUAACAACAAUCUAAAAAUGUCAACAGUGCUACAGGAAAGCGAUCUCAUGCAGCAGAGACGGGGAGCGUUAAAUCCAAGGCUCGUUUCACUACACGGAGGAGAUUUCCAGACAGCUUCAGCUGACAGAGCUGUGACGAGACGCCCAUUAAGCCCGAAUGAAAAGUAAGGCCGAGCAAAAGAAUGCUGACCUUGAUAACUCUGCAUUAACACUGUACAGGACAGUGAUGGACCAACACGGAUGAUCAGGCAGCAGAAGAAAGGGCGUGCCAGAGACAGGAGAAGCAACUGAGGUCAAAAGGCACCUCAGAAUGGACAAAACACAGAAGAAGAUGCAGGUUUCACCUGCGGUGAGCAUGGACACUGGAGAAAGGACUGCCCCAAUUGGGGCCAGGACCAGGACAGACUGAACUUUGAGCAGCAGCAGCAAUGGUCGCAACCGGACUGAAAAGGAGGAGGGCAGGACCCCAGGGCACGCUUCAGGCCGUGGUUUACCCAAAACACCAGAACAGGAAAGUGAUAAAUACACCAACAUACACAUCUACACACACACCAGACAAUGUACACUCAUCAAACAUGACUGAUGCCCUGAACGCCUUGAGACAGAUCCAGCAGGCCCAAACUCAGGACUAUGUAAAUAAUACAAGUGACUGCUAAAAAGACUACUACUGCCUUUUCACUGUGCAAUACUUUUUGUUAAAAACCAACGGUGCAAUAGACUUCAAUACUUGAAAUACUUGAAAUACUUGCAAUUCCUUUGUGUUCUUAUUCUUAUUUAUUCUAUUUAUCCCUUUUUGUAUUUUCACUUUUAUUUUGUGUUUUGUAACAUGUAUCCUGCCAUGUCUAAAACUCAUGAUUAACCGUAUAGUUGUUUCCACUGUUGCUGCAUACAUAGCCGUGACAAAUGAUGAUGAUGAUGACUCUGACCUGUUGGAACAUGAAAACUUUGUGUGAUUAAUGAUGGUGUGAUAGAAACUGUACAACAAGAUGUUACAUACUGAUAUCUCACUUGAAAGUUAUACUGACAACAGGAGGGAAUGUCAAUGGAAAAUUGUACUUAGUAGUCAGUAUAAGCUUGCAUAUGAUAGAAUACUGUAUGUUGACCUUUUGAUGACUUAGACUGUUGUCCACUACAAGACUGUUUUAUAAAUUCUUUCUUACAGCGAUAAUAGCUGAACAAGCAGGAAGAGGAGAGCUGGACACUUUUAUCUGCGCUCUCUAACAAGAAGAAGGGCUGCGUCCUUCUGAAUCUCACAACACACACACAUACACCUGAACCACUCUUAUCUUCACUCCCUACGUACUAACAUUCCGGAACGGAACGUUCCAGUAAGAUAGCCACAUACUGUUGUAUAGUCAUUUUUCUCAGAAGAGCGAAAAUACGCCGCCCUGUUGUGUGGGCACCAGUGACUAUAAAUGCACGAAUAAAGAAGUACACUGUGUGACUCUCUUCUGAGACGCUCACCCAUGUACA
Oreochromis aureus is the source of this 2182-nucleotide long non-coding RNA. Lineage: Eukaryota; Metazoa; Chordata; Actinopteri; Cichliformes; Cichlidae. The record is from Ensembl.